Molecule: ribosomal RNA, 1317 nt
Filed under: Prevotella nigrescens
Lineage: Bacteria; Pseudomonadati; Bacteroidota; Bacteroidia; Bacteroidales; Prevotellaceae
Description: bacterial SSU rRNA
Rfam family: Bacterial small subunit ribosomal RNA
Source: RNAcentral
CUGCCCCUUACUUGGGGAUACCCCGUUGAAAGACGGCCUAAUACCCGAUGUGUUUCAUUGACGGCAUCCGAUAUGAAACAAAGGUUUUCCGGUAAGGGAUGGGGAUGCGUCUGAUUAGCUUGUUGGCGGGGCAACGGCCCACCAAGGCGACGAUCAGUAGGGGUUCUGAGAGGAAGGUCCCCCACAUUGGAACUGAGACACGGUCCAAACUCCUACGGGAGGCAGCAGUGAGGAAUAUUGGUCAAUGGACGCAAGUCUGAACCAGCCAAGUAGCGUGCAGGAUGACGGCCCUAUGGGUUGUAAACUGCUUUUAUGUGGGAAUAAAGUGGCGCACGUGUGCGCCAUUGCAUGUACCUCAUGAAUAAGGACCGGCUAAUUCCGUGCCGCAGCCGCGGUAAUACGGAAGGCCGGGCGUUUCCGGAUUUAUUGGGUUUAAAGGGAGUGUAGGCGGUCUGUUAGCGUGUUGUGAAAUUUAGGUGCUCACAUUUAACUUGCAGCGCGAACUGUCAGACUUGAGUACACGCAGCGCAGGCGGAAUUCAUGGUGUAGCGGUGAAAUGCUUAGAUAUCAUGAGGAACUCCGAUCGCGAAGGCAGCCUGCGGGAGUGUUACUGACGCUUAAGCUCGAAGGUGCGGGUAUCGAACAGGAUUAGAUACCCUGGUAGUCCGCACAGUAAACGAUGGAUGCCCGCCGUUGGCGCCCUGCGCCUGCGGCCAAGCGAAAGCAUUAAGCAUCCCACCUGGGGAGUACGCCGGCAACGGUGAAACUCAAAGGAAUUGACGGGGGCCCGCACAAGCGGAGGAACAUGUGGUUUAAUUCGAUGAUACGCGAGGAACCUUACCCGGGCUUGAAUUGCAGUCGCUGCCCACAGAGACGUGGGCUUCCCUUCGGGGCGUCUGUGAAGGUGCUGCAUGGUUGUCGUCAGCUCGUGCCGUGAGGUGUCGGCUUAAGUGCCAUAACGAGCGCAACCCCCUUUCCCAGUUGCCAUCGGGUUAUGCCGGGCACUCUGGGGACACUGCCACCGCAAGGUGCGAGGAAGGUGGGGAUGACGUCAAAUCAGCACGGCCCUUACGUCCGGGGCUACACACGUGUUACAAUGGCCGGUACAGAGGGACGGUGCAAUGCAAGUUGCAUCCAAUCUUGAAAUCCGGUCCCAGUUCGGACUGGGGUCUGCAACCCGACCCCACGAAGCUGGAUUCGCUAGUAAUCGCGCAUCAGCCAUGGCGCGGUGAAUACGUUCCCGGGCCUUGUACACACCGCCCGUCAAGCCAUGAAAGCCGGGGGUGCCUGAAGUUCGUGACCGCGAGGAGCGACCUA